Molecule: ribosomal RNA, 743 nt
Filed under: uncultured soil bacterium
Lineage: Bacteria
Description: bacterial SSU rRNA
Rfam family: Bacterial small subunit ribosomal RNA
Source: RNAcentral
CUGGCGGCAUGCCUAACACAUGCAAGUCGAACGGACCUUAUCAGUGUAUCGGUAAGGUUAGUGGCAGACGGGUGAGUAAUACGUGGGCAAUCUGCCCUCGAGAAGGGGAUAACCUUGGGAAACCAGGGCUAAUACCGCAUGAGACCACGACCGGACAUCCGGUUGAGGUCAAAGCUCCGCAAGGGGCGCUCGAGGAGGAGCCCACGGCCUAUCAGCUAGUUGGCGGGGUAACGGCCCACCAAGGCUACGACGGGUAAGCGGUCUGAAAGGACGACCGCUCACAAUGGCACUGAGACACGGGCCAUACUCCUACGGGAGGCAGCAGUGGGGAAUUUUGCGCAAUGGGGGAAACCCUGACGCAGCGAUGCCGCGUGGAGGACGAAGGUCUUCGGAUUGUAAACUCCUUUUGCGGGGGAAAAAUGUCAGCGUGAAGAGCGUUGAAUGAUGGUACUCCGCGAAUAAGCCACGGCUAACUUCGUGCCAGCAGCCGCGGUAAGACGAAGGUGGCGAGCGUUACUCGGAAUUACUAGGCGUAAAGCGUGAGCAGGCGGUUCGGUAAGUCCGUUGUGAAAGCCCCGGGCUCAACCCGGGGAGGCCAAGGGAUACUGCCGGACUUGAAUACGGGAGAGGUUACUGGAAUUCCUGGUGUAGCGGUAAAAUGCGUAGAUAUCAGGAGGAACACCGAAGGCGAAAGCAGGUAACUGGACCGUUAUUGACGCUGAGUCACGAAAGCCGGGGGAGCA